GGACUACUGGGGUUUCUAAUCCUGUUCGCUCCCCACGCUUUCGCUCCUCAGCGUCAGUAUCGGCCCAGAGAUCCGCCUUCGCCACCGGUGUUCCUCCUGAUAUCUGCGCAUUUCACCGCUACACCAGGAAUUCCGAUCUCCCCUACCGAACUCUAGCCUGCCCGUAUCGACUGCAGACCCGGGGUUAAGCCCCGGGCUUUCACAACCGACGCGACAAGCCGCCUACGAGCUCUUUACGCCCAAUAAUUCCGGACAACGCUUGCGCCCUACGUAUUACCGCGGCUGCUGGCAC
This 292-nucleotide ribosomal RNA is filed under the name uncultured bacterium. RNAcentral's name for it is "partial 16S ribosomal RNA". The record is from RNAcentral.